RNAcentral lists this ribosomal RNA (321 nucleotides) under uncultured bacterium. RNAcentral describes it as "bacterial SSU rRNA". It matches the Rfam family "Bacterial small subunit ribosomal RNA", at positions 31 to 343 of the family's 1533-position model. The record is from RNAcentral.
GAACGCUGGCGGUGCGCCUUAUGCAUGCAAGUCGAGCGAAGCUUUUCAGUAGUUUACUACAGAAAAUGACUGAGCGGCGAACGGGUGAGUAACGCGUGAGCAACCUACCUUAGUUACCGGGAUAGCCCGAGGAAACUCGGAUUAAUACCGGAUAUUCUUAUUUAAUCACAUGAUUUUUUAAGGAAAGGUCAGCCGAACUAAGAUGGGCUCGCGUUCUAUCAGCUAGUUGGUAGGGUAACGGCCUACCAAGGCUACGACGGAUAGCUGGUCUGAGAGGACGAUCAGCCACACUGGGACUGAGACACGGCCCAGACUCCUACG